AGGCCAGAAGUGUGCCAAAAAAUUUCAGAAAUGUGGAAAAACAUCAUUCUCUGGACAGAAUAUUGAACAGGAUGAACAAGUGACGGUAACAAAUACAUCGAUAAGCUGGUCAUCCGUCUAGUACCUUGCAGGGAUGUUGAGCCUUUCAGGUUGUGCCCUCCUUCAGAAGAUGCUUGGUCUCAAUUCUAUUCAUAUGGCCAGAAAGGAAAAUUCAUGGAGAACUAGGGGAAAAUACGGAGCAGAAGGGUUACUCUAAGCUAUGUUCCUGGUGAUAUAUUUUGAUGUUAUGGAAAAUUGGAAAACAAAUUAUUGCCAUGUCUGUUUAAAGAUCCAUGUGUCUGGACCAGAUGUUUACUCUUCAGCCAGUUUUGCUAAUGAGGAAAAGGGUCCUGAUUCUGUUGCAUUUUGGACACCUCCUGGAAGAUGCCUAACGCCUUCACUUGCCUUCAAACUAGUUGAGCUGCAGCUUGGACAACGGGGGUCUCAUUUAGCUGGAGCUGUGGGUGCAGAGCAGGACCCAGUGUUCUAGCACGUGCAGCUUUCCUCAGUGGGGAAAAAUAAAUCAGGCUCCUUCAUGGAUUCA
RNAcentral lists this long non-coding RNA (583 nucleotides) under Apteryx owenii (little spotted kiwi). RNAcentral's name for it is "lncRNA (ENSAOWG00000002631.1)". Lineage: Eukaryota; Metazoa; Chordata; Aves; Apterygiformes; Apterygidae. The record is from RNAcentral.